AUUGAACGCUAGCGGGAUGCUUUACACAUGCAAGUCGAACGGCAGCGCGGACUUCGGUCUGGCGGCGAGUGGCGAACGGGUGAGUAAUGUAUCGGAACGUGCCCAGUAGCGGGGGAUAACUACGCGAAAGCGUAGCUAAUACCGCAUACGCCCUACGGGGGAAAGCAGGGGAUCGUAAGACCUUGCACUAUUGGAGCGGCCGAUAUCGGAUUAGCUAGUUGGUGAGGUAACGGCUCACCAAGGCGACGAUCCGUAGCUGGUUUGAGAGGACGACCAGCCACACUGGGACUGAGACACGGCCCAGACUCCUACGGGAGGCAGCAGUGGGGAAUUUUGGACAAUGGGGGCAACCCUGAUCCAGCCAUCCCGCGUGUGCGAUGGAGGCCUUCGGGUUGUAAAGCACUUUUGGCAGGAAAGAAACGUCGCGGGCUAAUACCCCGUGGAACUGACGGUACCUGCAGAAUAAGCACCGGCUAACUACGUG
RNAcentral lists this ribosomal RNA (484 nucleotides) under uncultured bacterium. Its description in RNAcentral is "partial 16S ribosomal RNA". It matches the Rfam family "Bacterial small subunit ribosomal RNA", at positions 30 to 507 of the family's 1533-position model. The record is from RNAcentral.